AGGUAACCGUAGAGUUUGGAAUCCUGGCUCAGAUUGAACGCUGGCGGCAGGCCUAACACAUGCAAGUCGAGCGGUAGCACAGAGAGCUUGCUCUCGGGUGACGAGCGGCGGACGGGUGAGUAAUGUCUGGGAAACUGCCUGAUGGAGGGGGAUAACUACUGGAAACGGUAGCUAAUACCGCAUAACGUCGCAAGACCAAAGUGGGGGACCUUCGGGCCUCAUGCCAUCAGAUGUGCCCAGAUGGGAUUAGCUAGUAGGUGGGGUAACGGCUCACCUAGGCGACGAUCCCUAGCUGGUCUGAGAGGAUGACCAGCCACACUGGAACUGAGACACGGUCCAGACUCCUACGGGAGGCAGCAGUGGGGAAUAUUGCACAAUGGGCGCAAGCCUGAUGCAGCCAUGCCGCGUGUGUGAAGAAGGCCUUCGGGUUGUAAAGCACUUUCAGCGGGGAGGAAGGCGAUAAGGUUAAUAACCUUGUCGAUUGACGUUACCCGCAGAAGAAGCACCGGCUAACUCCGUGCCAGCAGCCGCGGUAAUACGGAGGGUGCAAGCGUUAAUCGGAAUUACUGGGCGUAAAGCGCACGCAGGCGGUCUGUCAAGUCGGAUGUGAAAUCCCCGGGCUCAACCUGGGAACUGCAUUCGAAACUGGCAGGCUAGAGUCUUGUAGAGGGGGGUAGAAUUCCAGGUGUAGCGGUGAAAUGCGUAGAGAUCUGGAGGAAUACCGGUGGCGAAGGCGGCCCCCUGGACAAAGACUGACGCUCAGGUGCGAAAGCGUGGGGAGCAAACAGGAUUAGAUACCCUGGUAGUCCACGCCGUAAACGAUGUCGAUUUGGAGGUUGUGCCCUUGAGGCGUGGCUUCCGGAGCUAACGCGUUAAAUCGACCGCCUGGGGAGUACGGCCGCAAGGUUAAAACUCAAAUGAAUUGACGGGGGCCCGCACAAGCGGUGGAGCAUGUGGUUUAAUUCGAUGCAACGCGAAGAACCUUACCUGGUCUUGACAUCCACAGAACUUAGCAGAGAUGCUUUGGUGCCUUCGGGAACUGUGAGACAGGUGCUGCAUGGCUGUCGUCAGCUCGUGUUGUGAAAUGUUGGGUUAAGUCCCGCAACGAGCGCAACCCUUAUCCUUUGUUGCCAGCGGUCAGGCCGGGAACUCAAAGGAGACUGCCAGUGAUAAACUGGAGGAAGGUGGGGAUGACGUCAAGUCAUCAUGGCCCUUACGACCAGGGCUACACACGUGCUACAAUGGCAUAUACAAAGAGAAGCGACCUCGCGAGAGCAAGCGGACCUCAUAAAGUAUGUCGUAGUCCGGAUUGGAGUCUGCAACUCGACUCCAUGAAGUCGGAAUCGCUAGUAAUCGUAGAUCAGAAUGCUACGGUGAAUACGUUCCCGGGCCUUGUACACACCGCCCGUCACACCAUGGGAGUGGGUUGCAAAAGAAGUAGGUAGCUUAACCUUCGGGAGGGCGCUUACCACUUUGUGAUUCAUGACUGGGGUG
Molecule: ribosomal RNA, 1494 nt
Filed under: Klebsiella pneumoniae
Lineage: Bacteria; Pseudomonadati; Pseudomonadota; Gammaproteobacteria; Enterobacterales; Enterobacteriaceae
Description: bacterial SSU rRNA
Rfam family: Bacterial small subunit ribosomal RNA
Source: RNAcentral